AUUGAACGCUGGCGGCAUGCUUUACGCAUGCAAGUCGAACGGCCGCAAGGUGCUGACGAGUGGCGAACGGGUGAGUAAUGCAUCGGAACGUGCCCAGUCGUGGGGGAUAACGCAGCGAAAGCUGCGCUAAUACCGCAUACGAUCUAUGGAUGAAAGCGGGGGACCGUAAGGCCUCGCGCGAUUGGAGCGGCCGCUGUCAGAUUAGGUAGUUGGUGGGGUAAAGGCUCACCAAGCCAACGAUCUGUAGCUGGUCUGAGAGGACGACCAGCCACACUGGGACUGAGACACGGCCCAGACUCCUACGGGAGGCAGCAGUGGGGAAUUUUGGACAAUGGGCGCAAGCCUGAUCCAGCAAUGCCGCGUGCAGGAAGAAGGCCUUCGGGUUGUAAACUGCUUUUGUACGGAACGAAACGGUCCUGGUUAAUACCUGGGGCUAAUGACGGUACCGUAAGAAUAAGCACCGGCUAACUACGUGCCAGCCGCCGCAGUAA
Molecule: ribosomal RNA, 491 nt
Filed under: uncultured bacterium
Lineage: Bacteria
Description: partial 16S ribosomal RNA
Rfam family: Bacterial small subunit ribosomal RNA
Source: RNAcentral